ACCAUAGAUUGUAAAAUAACUGGAUAGGAAACUUCCUGACGUCACAGUCUAAACCUAGUUACAAUCUGUGACGUCACCCGUAUUGCCAAAGUUCUCAGCAUUUUUGUUGUUUCGCUAUAUUUUCCGCUUUAAAAGAGUAAUAUUGAAGCAUAAACUGGUCUAAUUGUUUUAAAAACAUGCCUAAGCCACGACAAAGUAUUCAAGGUAAAUGUUUUUCGUCUUUGUUUUGUAUUUUUUUUACAUUUGUAGCUACGAAAUUGGCGUCGCCAAUUUUAACGAAAUUUGCGAU
Non-coding RNA from Paramuricea clavata, 289 nucleotides. Lineage: Eukaryota; Metazoa; Cnidaria; Anthozoa; Malacalcyonacea; Plexauridae. The record is from the annotation of a GenBank genome assembly.